CGGCAACAGCUCAAAUUUGAAAUCUGGCCUCUUUGGGGUCCGAGUUGUAAUUUGUAGAGGAUGUUUCGGGUACCGCCUCGGUUUAAAUUUCUUGGAACAGAAUGUCAAAGAGGGUGAGAAUCCCGUCUUGG
Molecule: ribosomal RNA, 131 nt
Filed under: Exophiala equina
Lineage: Eukaryota; Fungi; Ascomycota; Eurotiomycetes; Chaetothyriales; Herpotrichiellaceae
Description: partial large subunit ribosomal RNA
Rfam family: Eukaryotic large subunit ribosomal RNA
Source: RNAcentral